GAUCUAAUCAAGUCCGACUUUAUGAGUUUACUAGAUUGUGUCAGUUCUUCUACCGAUCGAACUUCAUCAAGUUCAAUCUUUGAGGUAUUAGUUCCUUCAUCAAGGAACUCUUUUUCGAAAAAGACUGUCCUAUUACUAGCGAACACCUUCUGUUCAUCAGCAAAGUAGAAGUAAUAUCUCUUGACUUCUUUUAGAUAUCCUACAAAUAGACACUUGUCAGACCU
This 224-nucleotide long non-coding RNA is filed under the name Elaeis guineensis (African oil palm). RNAcentral describes it as "long non-coding RNA (EGUI_LNC077957)". The record is from RNAcentral. Lineage: Eukaryota; Viridiplantae; Streptophyta; Magnoliopsida; Arecales; Arecaceae.